This 468-nucleotide ribosomal RNA is filed under the name uncultured bacterium. Its description in RNAcentral is "partial 16S ribosomal RNA". It matches the Rfam family "Bacterial small subunit ribosomal RNA", at positions 28 to 507 of the family's 1533-position model. The record is from RNAcentral.
GACGAACGCUGGCGGCGUGCUUAACACAUGCAAGUCGAACGGAAAGGCCCUGCUUUUGUGGGGUGCUCGAGUGGCGAACGGGUGAGUAACACGUGAGUAACCUCCCCUUGACUUUGUGAUAACUUCAGGGAACUGGGGCUCAUACCGGAUAUGAUCUCCUGCUGCAUGUGGGUGGUUGGUAAGUUUCGGCUGUUGUGGAUGUACUCGCUGCUUAUCAGCUUGAUUGUGAGGUAGUUGCUUACCAAGGCUAUGACGGGUAGCCGGCCUGAGCGGGUGAACGGCCACAUUGGGACUGAGAUAGGGACCAGACUCGUACGGGCGGCAGCAGGGGGGAAUAUUACGCAAUAGGCGGAAGCCUGAUGCGGAGACGCCGCGUGCGGGAUGACGGCCUUCGGGUUGUAAACCGAUUUCGACUGUGACGAAGAGUGAGUGACGGUAAUGGGUAAAGAAGCACCGGCUAACUACGUG